Molecule: ribosomal RNA, 253 nt
Filed under: uncultured bacterium
Lineage: Bacteria
Description: partial 16S ribosomal RNA
Rfam family: Bacterial small subunit ribosomal RNA
Source: RNAcentral
GACGUAGGAGGCGAGCGUUGUCCGGAUUCAUUGGGCGUAAAGAGCGCGCAGGCGGCUUGGUAAGUCGGAUGUGAAAUCCCGAGGCUCAACCUCGGGUCUGCAUCCGAUACUGCCCGGCUAGAGGUAGGUAGGGGAGAUCGGAAUUCCUGGUGUAGCGGUGAAAUGCGCAGAUAUCAGGAGGAACACCGGUGGCGAAGGCGGACCUCUGGGCCUUACCUGACGCUCAGGCGCGAAAGCUAGGGGAGCGAACUGG